This 2862-nucleotide long non-coding RNA is filed under the name Oryza brachyantha (malo sina). RNAcentral describes it as "long non-coding RNA (OBRA_LNC000131)". Lineage: Eukaryota; Viridiplantae; Streptophyta; Magnoliopsida; Poales; Poaceae. The record is from RNAcentral.
GCAAAAUUAAGAAGUAGAACUAAAGGUGAUAAGAGAGGAUCCAAAGUGAAAAGAAUUUACGUAAAAGGGUCAAAGUGAUGGUUGGGUAAGAAUGAUAAUACAUAUAACAGGCUAGGUAGAUUUAUGUUAUUUAGUGUCGAGUGAAUUGCACUUUUGAAUUUUUUUUCUAAUGAAAGUUUCAUGUUGGGUCAAAUAUUUUUUUUAUUCUAGUACAACUAAUGCAUCGACAAACUAGAGGGAGCUCCACCCCAUACACCUGUGUCGCCAGUCUUUUCUCCUUCGAUUUGACAAGAUCAAAUGGCAAUCAAACAAUUUCACCUCGCAGCGAGUGGCCCUAGCGCUGCCAGCCUACUGAUGUCGCGAGCACACGUCUCCGCCGUCGCGGCUGGUCGCUCUUGAGUCUUGCCUUUGCUGAAGCAGGGUGAAGAAAAUAGAUGUGAGAGGUGGUUAAGUUGAACUUCGAACAAAAGAUAAUAUGGUCCUUUGCUAUUCCCAACUACUGCUCAACCAUCGUUCCAAACGGUACAUGUGCUAUAAACCGAAUAAAAAACGAAUUGGUUGCGCUAUAAGCCAAACGAAAAUUAUUGUGCUAUUUUAUUUUUUUUUGAUACUAGCAUGUUUCUUAUGCUACAGAUGGAAAUUUCUCCAUAUUUGCUAGCUUUGGAGGUCAUCUUUUGGCUUAUUUAUGAUAAAAAAAAGAGAAACAACAUAUUUGCAAACAAAAAUAAAGCAAAGGCUGAAAAAUCCAAAGUCAAUUCUAAAUUUAAGUUUAAAAAUUUAAUUUUGGUUUAUAAGCAUAACCAUGCAUAAGCGAAAAAAUGAGCUUGCUUGCAUUCUGCUUAGUUGUUGCUACAAUUUCUUUUCUGUCAACAAGGAUAUUGUUGUUUCCCUUGCCCUAGAUAUUGGGAUAUUUAUCUUCGGUUUCCUCUUUGUUUUCAUGGUUACUGUUAUUUUCCUUACCGAAAGAUCGUAACGGCUCAUGUAUACAUAAACAAGUGUUAAGAUAAACGCCAUCCAUUUUCCUUGCAACUCCAUCCGGGGACACUUCUAGAGUUUCUUACACCUCAUGAAACCAAGGCUCUAUUUAGAGAGCUUAUAGUAGCUGACCUUAUCCCAGAAUCUCCAGAAAGUGAUCUCGGACGACCCCCUCCCGCCAUGUGGCAUCCAGCAUGCCUGUCGUGUGACAAGCCACCAUGCCCUACGAGUCACUGAUGGGUGGGCCCAUCCAUCAGUAUCGACCCUCCUAGCUAAGUCAUCCCUAGCUUUUAAUGCAUAAUAAAUAGUAAACACAGUUAAACUUCUAAAAUUUAUAAUUAAUUUAUAUGAAUUUUGUUUUAGUGCAUUAAAAAUUCAUUAAAUUCAUAUAAUGUCUAAGAAUCCAAAAAACUCAUCUUAGUACGAAGUAGUCGAUUGUCCUCUCACUAGCACCAACAGGAACACCACCACCAGAAAGAAGAUGCAUAGUAGUCAUGUGUUUGUGUUCCCUAAAAACUUGAUUGCCUAGGUACCCGUGCAGGUACUUAUGCGAACGGGGUUUUAGAGGCAUGUUCGUUUGGAAUGCUCAUGUGCAUAAGCAAACCAAAUCGGGGAGACAGAUAGCAGCAUAGUUGAACAAAAUGGUGGAUGUGGAAAAACUCUAGUUCAGAUCUAUUUUGAUGGAGAGGUGGAGAGGGUUAUGCUCUAGGAAUCUGAGGAGGCUCAAUCAACUCGUUAACUCCUCUCUACCAUUGCACAAUCCAAGGAGGCUCAAGAAAAUCGAAUGAUUAUGCCAUUAACACGAAUUCAUCAAUGCAUGCGUAUUCAAAUCGAGUUAACUCCACAAAACUUUAAGAUGUAAGCACACAUAUAUUCAAAUCGAGUUAACUCCUCUUUACCAUUUCACAAAACAUUAAGAUAUAGGCAAGCCAUGCUUUCGGACACAGUCUGGCCGGCUUGGCUCGGUGUACGUGCAUGCGUGGAUUUCCAUUUGUCCCCUUAGGCCUAUCCAUGAGUGCUCAUCAUGCAACCCUAUUUAAGUUGAAUCGAUUUCGUGUUAAUAUCACAUAAGGAAAUAUUCCACCUAGCAUUUAUUGUAGACCAAGUAUUUAAUAGGAUUAAUUUAGUCUAGUCCCAUUUAAUUCAAAUGGAGUAGAAGACGUGAGUUUGGCUAACAAAUGUGUCAUGUAAGGGUGGCGUGAGCCAAGGGCUUUAAAAACAAAGAACUCGUUGUUCAGAAGACAAUGUGAUGUAUUGAAUGAAAAGUUGUCUUAAAAUUACCCCUAAUUUCCUACAGUGUUCACACUAUUACAUCCACGAGAAGGAUACUACAUGGAGGAAAAAUUGAUCAUCGAAUCCGCUCAAAGUCUCAACCAAAUCUUACAGAACAGAAAAGACUUCUCCCAAGAUCCAACCUUCAGCUCAACCCGAACAAACAAGCAUAAAAGGGGAGACUCCAAAAUCGUUAACAAAUCCAAUCUUCCCUAGAUUUGAGCAAGUCUAUUCUUCAAUAUCUCCAAGGACACAAGCUCAGGAAACCUCCAAACAUCUAGAAGAGCAUAUAGAAAUAUCUAGAGAUAUUGAUAGGCAAUGGCGAAGAUAACCGGUGGUAAUGACCCAGGCUGAGGGAGACUUGACCUCGAGUUUGAUGAGGCAUCACUAGUUGUCAUCGCCGCACCCUCCAUCAUGCUGCGCUCACGUAGCUUCUCUGCCAUGGGCUCACUCGAAUCCACCUCACCAUCUCCAUCGAGGCCCCUACCCCACAGCCACAGGUCGUCGGCGUCAUCGGUCAGAAUGGUUGUGCGCAAGAAGAGGAUCAGAGCAAGGGAGAUGGCACUGGUGCUAGUCUUGUCUGGGGGAGAUGGCAACAAGCAAGCUAUCGGGUUC